UCCCAAAUAGCUCAGUUGGUAAAGAAUCCGCCUGCAAUGCAGGAAACCCUGGUUCAAUUCCUGGAUUGGGAA
RNAcentral lists this transfer RNA (72 nucleotides) under Bos taurus (domestic cattle). It matches the Rfam family "tRNA". Rfam says of the family: Transfer RNA (tRNA) molecules are approximately 80 nucleotides in length. Lineage: Eukaryota; Metazoa; Chordata; Mammalia; Artiodactyla; Bovidae. RNAcentral also lists the same sequence under 4 other names. The record is from Rfam by way of RNAcentral.